ACUUCACACGAAGCGCCGGGCGCACGUUUGUUCUUGGAAAAAACCGUCGACCCACCUGAGACAUAAGGCUUGGGCGUACGCGCGCCGGGCGCACAGUACAUGUCACCUCUAGCACCAGGGGAGAGAAGAAAAGUCGGCUGAGUUCAGCUCCAUUGUCGUCGUCGUCGUCCUCCUCCUUCUUCUAGUCAGAGCUGAACUUCUCUGAUUCUCUAAUGGAAGUUUAAUCGAACACUGCAUCUUAACAUUCAAUCCUCUCCUGAUUCCCGUCCGCAGCUCCGACCGGGCCGUAGCAACAGUUUCCUGGCGUAGCCAUGCUGGUGAGCCGGGAAAACGAGGAAUGAUAAGGAGGCGAAGGUUACGCUGCUGAGCUUCCAUUGGUAGGGGGGAAGGAGUGCGGAGAGACGAACCCGGUGUGGAGAGAGAGAAUGCGAACGCUUUGCGACGUCUGCGAGAGCGCCGCCGCGAUCCUCUUCUGCGCAGCAGACGAGGCCGCCCUGUGCCGCGCCUGCGAUGAAAAGGUGCACUUGUGUAACAAGCUAGCUAAUCGACAUGUUCGGGUUGGGCUAGCUGAUCCCAGCGAUGUCCCUCACUGUGACAUUUGUGAAAAUGCACCUGCCUUCUUUUACUGUGAGGUAGAUGGUACUUCACUUUGCCUGCAAUGCGAUAUGAUUGUUCAUGUUGGUGGUAAGAGAACUCAUGGAAGAUACCUCUUGCUGAGGCAGAGAAUUGAGUUUCCGGGGGACAAACCCAGUCGCUUGGAAGAAACUGGGUUGCAAACUCUUGAUCAAAAUGAUUUAAAGAGAGAACAGAACCAGCUGCCUGAGCUUAAAACUAGAGAGAGUCAGCAAAAUCACCGGGUAUCACCAAUUCAAGAGAGCGAGACAGGUGCUCCAGCUGAUGGCACGAUGGGCAAUAAAUUAAUCGACCUGAACUCAAGGCCUCGAAGGAUUCAUGGACAAACAUCAACUAACCAGUUCUCUUUGGAAGAAACAGGAUAUGGAUAUUGUGAAUGGCUUAAACCAUGAAUCGGUGAGCAUUGUCCCUGUUGGAUCUUUUAAAAGAGAGCCCGAAAAGUGAGCAAGAUGACAUGGCACCACAAUCAGCCCUCUCACCCUUUUGACUACUCUGGACCUACUUGGGGCAUUCAUCUGGUUCCGUGGCUUGGGUUUUCAAUUCGAUCAUUUCCUUUGCACAGAGUUUUACUUGGUGGAACAUUUCUUUCUCAUUGAAUGUAUUGAAAGUGAUGAAGAAAUCUUGCUUAGAAUAGCACAUCAAUGAUAUAACUAGCAGGAUAUAAUGCGCUAGCAUUUUCAGAUCCUAACUGUAUCCUUCACAGCUAUCAGUCAAAAAAUUUACUCUCUUUAAUUUCGCUCUA
Molecule: non-coding RNA, 1375 nt
Organism: Punica granatum (pomegranate)
Lineage: Eukaryota; Viridiplantae; Streptophyta; Magnoliopsida; Myrtales; Lythraceae
Source: RefSeq, a predicted model, not a curated record